AUACGUAGGGGGCGAGCGUUGUCCGGAAUUACUGGGCGUAAAGGGCGCGUAGGCGGCGCUUCAAGUCGUCUGUCAAAUGGGAGGGCUUAACCCUUUUUCGCAGACGAAACUGGAGAGCUUGAGAAGCAGAGAGGCAAACAGAAUUCCUGGUGUAGCGGUGAAAUGCGUAGAUAUCAGGAAGAAUACCAGUGGCGAAGGCGGUUUGCGGGCUGCAUACUGACGCUGAAGCGCGAAAGCCAGGGGAGCAAACGGGAUUAGAUACCCCGGUAGUCCUGGCAGUAAACGAUGUAUGCUGGGUUUGAGACUAGCGAUAGUUUCGUGCCGAAGUUAACGCGAUAAGCAUACCGCCUGGGGAGUACGGUCGCAAGAUUGAAACUCAAAGGAAUUGACGGGG
RNAcentral lists this ribosomal RNA (394 nucleotides) under uncultured bacterium. Its description in RNAcentral is "partial 16S ribosomal RNA". It matches the Rfam family "Bacterial small subunit ribosomal RNA", at positions 523 to 918 of the family's 1533-position model. The record is from RNAcentral.